UACGUAGGGUCCGAGCGUUGUCCGGAAUUAUUGGGCGUAAAGAGCUCGUAGGCGGUUUGUCGCGUCUGCUGUGAAAUCCCGAGGCUCAACCUCGGGUCUGCAGUGGGUACGGGCAGACUGGAGUGCGGUAGGGGAGAAUGGAAUUCCUGGUGUAGCGGUGGAAUGCGCAGAUAUCAGGAGGAAUACCGGUGGCGAAAGCGACUCUCUGGACGGCAACUGACGCUGAGGCACGAAAGCGUGGGGAGCAAACAGG
This 253-nucleotide ribosomal RNA is filed under the name uncultured bacterium. RNAcentral describes it as "partial 16S ribosomal RNA". It matches the Rfam family "Bacterial small subunit ribosomal RNA", at positions 524 to 776 of the family's 1533-position model. The record is from RNAcentral.